Nerophis ophidion (straightnose pipefish) is the source of this 1144-nucleotide long non-coding RNA. RefSeq lists it as uncharacterized. The record is from RefSeq and is a predicted model, not a curated record. NCBI's taxonomy places the organism in Eukaryota, Metazoa, Chordata, Actinopteri, Syngnathiformes, Syngnathidae. The transcript has 2 exons.
GUGAGAAGAGGUUUUAAAUUAAUUAGUGCCCCGGCAGCAAUUCAAGGAAAUACGGUAAUUAUGUAUUCAUGUAGUAUUAUUCACAUAUGACAGUGUGUUGGCUCAAUGUUCAUGACUAUUUGAAGAUCACAAAAAAACAAAACAUCUGCUGUAAAAUGACAUCUGACAGUUUACCUUUGCUUGUAUUUCCAUCUUCAGUAUGGACCCCACGAUGGUCAAGAGGUCGCUGACAAUGACCAGCACAUACCAGCCAUUGAGGAACUCCCCCUGGUCGUCCUCACACACUUUGCGGUUGUAGUUGUCAUGGAGGAAUCUGGAGAAUCUCUGGGAGGAAAGAUGUGACAAUAUGUGAGUCUAAUGCAGGGGUGUCCAUACUUUUGCUGAAAAAUGAAUGCACACAGGGGCCGAUUUGAUAGUUCUCAUUUUUAAACCUAAUACAAUAUAUAUAAAUACAUAUAUAUAUAUAUAUAUAUAUAUUGCGUGCGGGCCAUUAUGUGACGUAUGUAAGAAGGUGCGCACAAGAAAGAGUGAGAAACGCCUGUAGUGUAAUGCCCGCAGCUAAAAGCAACUGUGUGAGAACAUGCACUCAGGCAGUUGACUAUAUACUGACUAAAUAUAGACUAUAUACUGCGAUAAAGUCAUUUUCUAUAUCUAGUAUAAUUGAUAUAUCACCCAGCCCGAGUCAGAUGUAUCUAUGGUGUAGCUGCUGACAGAAGCACAUUGUAUACAUGUUAUAUAAUUUCAUAGUUGGUUAUAAUAAAUAAAUACAAUGUAUAAAUAUUCAGUUCAUAUUCACAUAUAAUGUGAUUAAAAAUGUAUUUUAUUUAGUAAUUUCAUGCAAGUAUUUGUUAACUUUAUUUUUGUUACAAAACCCAUGUAAAUUGGAGAGGAACAUAUUUUGUUUCCGGUUUGGUCACAUUGUUGGGGGGGACAAUUAAUAUGUGACGGAAUAAGGGAAGCAGCAUGAGACAGCAAACAUUUGAUGGAAGAUGUUAAUGGAGUCUCGGCUUGGAAAGAAACUUUAUUCCCUCUGAGUUUGUGAGGCCAAUGAGUUCUGACGGCAUUUGUUCGGCAUUUUUUGGCAUCAUUUGGGAGGAGAAGAAGGCGUGGCUGAGAUAAAUGUCUGUUUGAGAAAAACGAACAA